RNAcentral lists this ribosomal RNA (492 nucleotides) under uncultured bacterium. RNAcentral describes it as "partial 16S ribosomal RNA". It matches the Rfam family "Bacterial small subunit ribosomal RNA", at positions 29 to 507 of the family's 1533-position model. The record is from RNAcentral.
AGUGAACGCUGGCGGUAGGCCUAACACAUGCAAGUCGAACGGCAGCACAGUAAGAGCUUGCUCUUACGGGUGGCGAGUGGCGGACGGGUGAGGAAUACAUCGGAAUCUACUUUUUCGUGGGGGCUAACGUAGGGAAACUUACGCUAAUACCGCAUACGACCUACGGGUGAAAGCAGGGGAUCUUCGGACCUUGCGCGAUUGAAUGAGCCGAUGUCGGAUUAGCUAGUUGGCGGGGUAAAGGCCCACCAAGGCGACGAUCCGUAGCUGGUCUGAGAGGAUGAUCAGCCACACUGGAACUGAGACACGGUCCAGACUCCUACGGGAGGCAGCAGUGGGGAAUAUUGGACAAUGGGCGCAAGCCUGAUCCAGCCAUACCGCGUGGGUGAAGAAGGCCUUCGGGUUGUAAAGCCCUUUUGUUGGGAAAGAAAAGCAGCAGGUUAAUACCCCGCUGUUCUGACGGUACCCAAAGAAUAAGUACCGGCUAACUUCGUG